This 292-nucleotide ribosomal RNA is filed under the name uncultured bacterium. RNAcentral describes it as "partial 16S ribosomal RNA". It matches the Rfam family "Bacterial small subunit ribosomal RNA", at positions 505 to 796 of the family's 1533-position model. The record is from RNAcentral.
GUGCCAGCAGCCGCGGUAAUACGUAGGGUGCAAGCGUUGUCCGGAAUUAUUGGGCGUAAAGAGCUCGUAGGCGGUCUGUCGCGUCGGAUGUGAAAAUCCAGGGCUCAACCCUGGACCUGCAUUCGAUACGGGCAGACUAGAGUUCGGUAGGGGAGACUGGAAUUCCUGGUGUAGCGGUGAAAUGCGCAGAUAUCAGGAGGAACACCGGUGGCGAAGGCGGGUCUCUGGGCCGAAACUGACGCUGAGGAGCGAAAGCGUGGGGAGCAAACAGGAUUAGAUACCCUGGUAGUCC